CCUCCUCUUAAGAGUUUUAAUCAGUAACAAAAAAAAGGACAGAACAGAGUGCACACGCACGUACACGGCCCCUCCCCCCCUCCCCCAGCUCGCUCCCGCACGACAGCUUGAAAGCAAAGACAAGAGGCGCACACGCACUCGCUCUUUGCUCACGUCAACAGAGGCAAAGGCAGGCUCGACGAUAUCGCACACGGUCAGCCGCGUACGCCCGUCUGCGCCCUGCUCAGCCGUUCUCGCCCUCGCAAGCUGCAACAGCACCACGCCCUCUGAGGAGCAGCCCUCUUCGCACAAUCGGGUCAACUGGGCACUUGUUUGCGUGAAGGAUACCCCGUCCUGUUCGCCGACCUCGUCGAACGACACCAUCUCCCCAACAACACCCCCAGUGUUUGCUGUUGACGAAAGAACCCCGCUGCUGUACAAGGCAAUCAUGAGCGGCGCUAACCACCACAACCACUCCAGCGACAGCGACGACCGCUCCGCCCCGCUGCCCGAGGAGCUCGCCACCCACUACCCCUACACCGAGGCGGGCGGCAAUGUCCUUGCCGCAGACAGCGCUGCUGUCACAAAGAUGAAGGGCACCGCGGGCGAGUCCUACUCCUCGUCCAGCGUCGAUGGACUGGCCGUGCCGCAAGCCAACUCCACUGGCGUGCGCGGGGCCAUCGAGAGGGUCUACUCCAUCAUCCCCCAUGGUGGGCUGGUCGCCAACAUCUACAAUCUGGCAAGCGCCACCCUCGGUGCCGGAAUUGUCUCUGUGCCGUCCGGCUUUCACCAGUCUGGUAUGGUGGUGUCCGUUGUGCUGCUCGCCGUUGUGUGUGCGUGCACCAUUUACUCCAUUCGCUUGCUGGGCCAGGCGAAGCUGAAGACGGGUCUGCGGUCGUAUGAGGAGAUGGCGCGCGGCAUGCUGGGUCGCGGCUGGGACUACUUUGCUGCGUUCCUCAUGCUAAUGUUCUGUUGGGGCACGUGCGUCGGGUACGUCAUUUCAGUCGGCGACUUGCUGUCGCCGAUGCUGGAUGGCCCCAACACGAACGCGUUCUUUAAGACGGACAAUGGCCACCGCAUCCUCAUUGGACUGAUCUGGUUCGUUGGCAUGUUCACGUUGUCGCUGCCGAAGGAGAUCAACUCGCUACGCUACGCGUCGGUGAUCGGCGUGUCUUUUGUCGUCUUCUUCGUCAUUUGCGUGAUCGUUCACUCCGCCCGCAACGGCCUCAAGAACGGCAUCCGCAAGGACAUCGUGCUCGCCAACAACGGCAUGCCGGCCGUCAACGGUCUCACGCUGUUCAUUUUCGCAUUCAUCUGCCAAGUGAACGUGUUUGAGAUUUUCGACGAAAUGCAGAAGCCCACGCUCGGCCGCAUGACGCGCGACGCGACGAUCAGUAUGCUCGUCGUGGCGUUGCUGAACUUCUUUUCCGGCUUCUUCGGCUACUGCGAUUUUGGCGCGGAGGUGGACGGCUCGAUUCUGCUGCUGUACCGCCCGCUUGAGGAUCCGCUCUUCAUGAUUUCGUACAUUGGUAUUUGCAUCAAGCUGUGCGUCGGCUUCGCCAUCUGCAUUCAGCCCUCGCGCGAUGCCAUCUACUACUGUCUGGGGAUGGGCAAGACGUCUGAUGUGAAGGACUGGCUGAACUGGAUCGUCAGUGGCUUCCUUGCCCUUGCCGCGCUCAUCUGCGGUCUCUUCAUCCCCAGCAUCAACAUUGUCUUCUCCCUGCUCGGCGGUAUCUGCGGUGGCUUUCUCGGCUUCAUGUUUCCGGCGUACUUUUUCAUCUACUCGGGUGGCUUCACGCUCAAGAAGGUCGGCAUCCUGAACUACCUUGGCUGCAUCGUGCUGAUCGUUGGUGGCGUGGUCGCCGUCGUCUUCGGCACUGCUGUCGCCAUCUUCAGCGAGAUCCCUUGAUUGGACGGACGCGAGUGCGUUCAGGAGGUAAGAGCAGCGGUACCCUUGCGCGACAUGAGGCCGCUCUCGAGGCGUGCCUCCGCGUGUGGCGGAGUACGUGCCAACUUUGCCGAUACCCUUGUGGUGGUGGCGCGGCGGUCGACUUCGGCGCCUUUCCUGGUUAACGUGGUCUGCCGCCCUUCCCCCUCCCUCUUUCUGUCUCUCUCUCUCCCUGUCUCUGUCUAUACCUGUGUGUGUAUCCCCUCUUCAACACGCGUGUCUUCUCUGUUCUCUCCGUCCCCUCACCCCCCUUCUUUUAUCUUUUGUUUUUUUAUUGUUUCCCCGCCUGCCGCCAAGCAAAACCAUUUUCUCCUCUUGUUGUAAAACCAAAGAUCGCGCGAUGCGAACCAAACCAACAACAACAAAAAAUUUUUGUUGUGCGUGUUUGAAAAAUAAGUAAGCGUCAACUAAACGCGAACUUCUUCUUUUUUUUUUGUUGCCCCCUCCCUCACCCCCUUUUUUCCUUUUCUUCUCUCUUUCUCUUCCACCCGAUCAAGGUGUUUUGUAUGUUGUGUUUGGGUGCAUGCGUGUGCGUGUGCGUGUGCGUAGGUACGCGUUGAUGGCGAGAAAGUUCUUUGCCCGCUGCCCGCUGCCCGCUGCCCGCUGCCCGGUGCUCUCUCUUUCUCUUUGUGGUGCCGCGUCCUUUCCCUUUUUUUUUGUUUUCUGUGCUCGUCCCUGUCCCCGUAUGCGCUCACGGAGGCAAAAAUGGCCGACUUGUUUUCAUCUUUGCUGACGACCUUUACUUCUCGGCCUUCUCGCUUUUACUGGACACAUGUAAGGACGCAGGAGCAGUCUUUGACGGGAGAGCAACCAGCGAAAGAAAAUGGAAAGCGAGGAGGGCAUUCAUCUACGACACGCGUACAUAUGCCGAGUCUCUCUCUCUUUCCUGAAGCACACACACACACACACACACACACACAGACACACAGACGCGCGUAUACGCCAAACUGUAUUGUUGUGCGUUUACGUUUUCUUUUUUUUUUGCGUUGAUUUCUUUUCAUUUGUUCUUGUAAACACCUGAGUGCAGAACCUGUGAAAGCCCUUUUCCCCUUUCUCACCAUCGGCGACUGUCUUAGUCUUCCCCCUUCUUUCCCGCGUUCUUGCUUCUAAGCGCGCAUUUCCAUGAUGGUUAUGAGAUUAGGCUUGUAUGUGUGCGUGUGUCCUGGACUGACCGCUCACCACUGUCACCACCGCCCUUGUGUCUUACCCGUCCCGCAUCUCGCUCCCUCUCUCUCUUCGAAUUCUCGCUCGCUUCUGUGUGGCUUCCUUUUCGUCUGAUUCUCUUUAUCGCGGAGGACGAAGCGGGACGAGAGCGCGAUGUUGACGUUGGUCAUCACGGAUCUGUGUCUGUUUGUCUGCCUGCCUGCCUGUGUGUGUGUGUGUGUGUGGUUAGGUCGGCCGAACACCGAGGCUUCACAGCAACAGAAAGCGACAAAAGCGCCAGGCGUGCGUGAGAAAUGUGUUUCGGCGUGCGGCUUCUUUUCUUUUGUUGUUUGUUGUUUCGCUCGUCUUUGGGUCUUCUUUCUUCCCUCCUUUUUGCCUAUGUGUUUGCUUCGCGCGCGUGCGCUUUUUGGUGGUGGGUGGGGCACCGGCGCUGCUUCACCAUUCCCGCGCAUGUCUCCCUCUUUCACCUCUACGCACACUACCUCGACUGCGAGUGACCUUUUCUUUCCUGCCUCUUGUCUCUACUUCUUUUUUGCGACUCACUGUGUGAUGCCUCUGCCCCACCUCUUCUCUCUGUCCCUCGCCAAGGGCAUCGCAGCGCACCCCCCUCCCCCCGCCCUGGCGCAUCACCUUGCCCGUUUCUUCUCUCUUAUGGUGGCCGUUCGCUACGCUGCCUGGCUGCGUAUGAGACGCCCGUGCGCUCGAGGUAUCGACAUUUUUGUGUGUUGCUUGAAGAGGUGCAGACAGUCGACAGCUGUUGUCUUCAUUUCUCUCUCUACCCCGUGCUUUCGUGUUUUGCGCUUUCUUCGGGUUGUAUUGCUCACCUGCAUGCGGCAGGGGCGGUGGUGGCGAGCUCUCUUUCUUUAGCCGCACAUGUGCUCACGCACGCACAAACAAGAAAAAGUAAUGGUGAGAGGAACAGGGCAGCCGCGCCUGUGAGAGGAAGCAACGCUUGCCUAUAUACAUAUUUGCGCGUCUGUGUUCGUAUAUUCAGUUGCUGUCUGGAGCGUGUGCGGAACCGCGUUCUCUCUUUCUCUUCAUCUCUUUGUUUUCUUUUUGUUUGGACUCCUCUCUACCACUUCGCUGACACGCAUGCGCGCGUGGCUUUCAGACUCGUUUUCCCUUUCUCCCUUUCUGCGCAUGAGCGGAGAGCCGUGGCGGGAGUUGGCCAAGAGAGUGAGGCGGGGAGCGGCCGCGGAAGAAGGUUAAACGAAAACCAGAGCUGAAGAACUUGCUUCCGAAAUAGCGACUCCCCGCGCUUAGAUAGACACACAUAUACAUGCUUCUUCACGAGUGCUCACGACUAAUUAUCGCCAGCACCCACCAAUCGGACUUGAGGAAGAGACGCACACGCGCAUACAGACACACGCUCGUGAGGAGGCCAAGAGACAUUCUCUCUCUCUCUGUCCUUCGCUCCCACCACCACCAGCACCAGCACUAACACCUCCAGUACACCAGGUGCUUCUUGUAUCGAUGAAGCUAGGUGCGUGUGUGCGUGUGCGCCUCUCUCCCUCUCUCUCUGUGUCCGUGGGAGUGUAUAUCGGCGUGGCGGCCUUCCCCACAUCAGGCACGCAAAGGAGGAAGAAAUGGAAGAACACGCUUCACGUCACCUUUGCAUGCGCAAUAUGUAGCGCUCAGG
RNAcentral lists this unclassified non-coding RNA (4730 nucleotides) under Leishmania donovani. RNAcentral describes it as "gene:LdHU3.32.3530(CDS-product:L-Lysine_transport _protein_putative)". Lineage: Eukaryota; Euglenozoa; Kinetoplastea; Trypanosomatida; Trypanosomatidae. The record is from RNAcentral.